UGGGGAAUAUUGCACAAUGGGCGAAAGCCUGAUGCAGCGACGCCGCGUGCGGGAUGACGGCCUUCGGGUUGUAAACCGCUUUCGGCAGGGAAGAAGCCGUAAGGUGACGGUACCUGCAGAAGAAGCGCCGGCUAACUACGUGCCAGCAGCCGCGGUAAUACGUAGGGCGCAAGCGUUGUCCGGAAUUAUUGGGCGUAAAGAGCUCGUAGGCGGUUCGUCGCGUCUGCUGUGAAAUCCUCAGGCUCAACCUGGGGCGUGCAGUGGGUACGGGCGGUCUGGAGUGCGGUAGGGGUGACUGGAAUUCCUGGUGUAGCGGUGGAAUGCGCAGAUAUCAGGAGGAACACCGAUGGUGAAGGCAGGUCACUGGGCCGCAACUGACGCUGAGGAGCGAAAGCAUGGGGAGCGAACA
RNAcentral lists this ribosomal RNA (409 nucleotides) under uncultured bacterium. RNAcentral describes it as "bacterial SSU rRNA". It matches the Rfam family "Bacterial small subunit ribosomal RNA", at positions 355 to 774 of the family's 1533-position model. The record is from RNAcentral.